Molecule: long non-coding RNA, 497 nt
Organism: Tupaia belangeri chinensis (Chinese tree shrew)
Lineage: Eukaryota; Metazoa; Chordata; Mammalia; Scandentia; Tupaiidae
Exons: 4
Source: RefSeq, a predicted model, not a curated record
UCUUAACUGAACCCCAAGUCUGCCAGUGCUUUGAUCUUUGACUUCUCAGACUCCGGAACUGUGAACAACACAUUUCUGUCAUUUAUAAAUUAUUUAGCCUGAAUUAUUCAGUUGCAGUAGCAGAAAUGGACUAAGAUAGAUACCUAACUAGUCUGAGUGUUUCAGAAAUGCCUUUUGUGCCUAGCUGAUAAGUCUGAAAGGACACAGGCUGAGCGGAUGCCAUGGCCAAGCCGUAUCUGGAGAGAGCAGACGCCUGUGUUCUUGCUUGGAAGAGCCAUUGACAAAGGAAUGCACCGCACACAUCGGGCUACAAUCUCGGUGAGAGACACUCACCACUGUCUCCACAAACCCCAGCUCCGCGCUUGGCACUAGAUUUACCAAGUGACUCAGCAGUCAGCAGUUCUGGUCUUGACUGGGUCUUCUUGGGAAAUGAUCCUGCAAGUCCACAAACCUUCACCAGACUACGGGACAAAGUCAGGAGUCCCUUUGUUCUUCAC